GGCUGGGCACCGGGACCGAGGAGACGCGGGACAGGCGGUCUCGGCUCGCACCAGCCCCCUCAGGAGCCGCGGCCCGGCUCGAACCGCUCCGUCACAGGAGCCAUGGUCCCGCACCAGCCGCUCCGAACCGAACCGAGCGAACUCCUCGUUGUAAGGGAUCCGUUGUUUUAGCGAAAAUCCCUCCCGCAUCCGCGUCCCGUUCUCGGAGAGGCUCGUGUGGCUCAACGAGGAAGGAGGGGUGUUUUGUGAAGUGCCAAGGUGGAAGAUGCCUGCCCCUCAUUUCACCUUUGGCAGGCACAUGAGUGAUGCAUGCAGGAUAACAUCAUGUUCUGAGGAGAGCUGGGAGCUGUGUCAGCUUCUCUGGGCGCUCCUCAUAAUCUUUGACCCCUGCUUGGCAGCAUCCAUCCCUCUGUCCCACUCCUGGCCUUUCCUGAGCUCAAGGGAUUCCUCACUUCAGAAUGUGAAAUGGAUUUGCAUUCAUGUUUCUGUCGGGUUGACAAGUCCCUAGCUAUGGUUCCCAGCGUGCUGUGGAGUGAAGCUGUUCCUGGCAGUCCUGAUCUCAACCAUGAGUCAAAAGUUUCCUUGAUACUCACUGAGUUCCAGCUACCAAAACUCUUUAUCCUCUGAACACAUACAGGAUGUAGCCUAUGGCAGUAUUUUUCAUUCUUUGCCUUCUUUCCAGUAAAUAAAUCUAAGUUAAUCUUCUAAAUAGAGUUCCUGAAUCAUUUCACUUGCAGAAUGAGCCCUAAAGAACA
Molecule: non-coding RNA, 755 nt
Organism: Agelaius phoeniceus (red-winged blackbird)
Lineage: Eukaryota; Metazoa; Chordata; Aves; Passeriformes; Icteridae
Source: RefSeq, a predicted model, not a curated record